CAACCAGCAUUAUCGCGCGAUUUUUAUGUGUAUCUAUCAUUUUUCUCAUUCUAACAUUCAAACAAUUUUUCAUUCUGCCUCGCUCUUCUGGGUGUUGGUCUGUAUUUGCUUGCGACUUGGCUGUGUCGCAUCAACGAUUCGCAUGUUUCAUUUAGCUCAUCCCUUUCCAUCGUUGGAGAGAAACUCUUGCGUCUCGCUUUUCUGGGACUUGUCCAAAUUCGCUUGCUACACCAAUCGUUCACGCAAGCGUUCUCCUCUCGCCCGCUCUUUGUAUCAUUGUACAGGUACUCCCCGAUAUACGCUAUCAAUGCGUACCGGAGGCAAUAGCGUAUCUCGAAUAUACAAUAGCGAAAGUCGAAUUUCGAGGUUUUCAGUCAAAUUAUAACUAAUAUCCGUAUAACUUUGCAUGAAGUGGUAGGUUUUAGCCACUUAAUUAGUUAUUUGAUCUAAUUUCAACUGAAUUUUUCAAUUUUAUACCAUUUGAAAUGGUUUUUAAUAUUCAACCAAAAUGGAAUUUAUUUUGCAUUUGACAUUCGAUUUCUAAAAUUAGUACUACUUGUUCAAAGAACCGUCAAAUUUAGAAAAAAAGCGUAUAGCGAAAUCGUGUAUAUCGAGUAUGGCGUAUAUCGGGGAAUACCUGUAUAGGAACACGAGGAAGGCGCUGCUUCGCGUUCACAUGAAAAUGUGGUAGUGUGAAAUCAAGUUUGCAAGCGGUAGGACGCGUCGGUGUGUGUCCGUUUUUUCUCUCGUGAAACCAGUACGGAAAAACUAUUUGAAAUCGUAACACACGCACGAACGGAAGUGAGCACGGACCACAACAGAAGCAAUAUUCAAUUGGUUGGUAAGUAUUGUGCUUGACGUUAAAUUGAACAGCUGUUGGCAAAAUAGUUAAUAUUUCCUUCUAUCCCUAGGAGUGCCGAAAACAGAACAGGAGAGGAAAGAAGGCAGGAACGAUCCGAUCCUCCAACGUGCUAGCGCCUGGUAGAGGAGAAGCGGCAGGAAGGUAGAGACGAACAUCCAGCUCGCUAGUGCAGCACGUGGGAGCAGCAAGAGGGAAGCAAGCAGGACGCGUACACACCAUUCGACGAAGGCAAAGCUGGAGGAAAGGAAGAACGAGGAGAGAAGGCAGGCAAGACGGGUACGUGUGUAUCCCGCACCGGUUUUUGGCAGUGUGAAAUGUGAGUAUUGAAAAGUGUAUGUGUGAGUAGAAGUAAAGAGGUAAAAUAAAGAGCGAAUGUGUGGAAUGAGAAAAUGAAA
This is a long non-coding RNA of Anopheles coluzzii, 1257 nucleotides long. RefSeq lists it as uncharacterized. The record is from RefSeq and is a predicted model, not a curated record. NCBI's taxonomy places the organism in Eukaryota, Metazoa, Arthropoda, Insecta, Diptera, Culicidae. The transcript has 2 exons.